GGAUGUGAGGGAGAUCUGGCUGCGACAUCUGUCACCCCAUUGAUUGCCAGGGUUGAUUCAGCUGAUCUGGCUGGCUAGGCAGGUGACCCCUUCCUCCCUCACCGCUCCAUGUGCGUCCCUCCCAAAGCUGCGCGCUGGGUCCAAGAGCAUAACCAUCCCUGACAGAGGAGGACCAUUCUUCAAUCAAGGGUAUAAGAGUAGCUGCGCUCCCCUGCUAGAACCUCCAGACAAGCUCAAGCGAGUCGCCUUGAGGGCAAGAGCUUCUCU
Molecule: small nuclear RNA, 267 nt
Filed under: Castor canadensis (American beaver)
Lineage: Eukaryota; Metazoa; Chordata; Mammalia; Rodentia; Castoridae
Description: 7SK RNA (ENSCCNG00000017467.1)
Rfam family: 7SK RNA
About the family: 7SK was discovered as an abundant small nuclear RNA in the mid-70s but a possible function has only recently been suggested. Two independent studies have found that 7SK RNA binds the CDK9/cyclin T complex (known as elongation factor P-TEFb).
Source: RNAcentral